RNAcentral lists this ribosomal RNA (225 nucleotides) under uncultured bacterium. RNAcentral's name for it is "partial 16S ribosomal RNA". It matches the Rfam family "Bacterial small subunit ribosomal RNA", at positions 15 to 230 of the family's 1533-position model. The record is from RNAcentral.
GAUCCUGGGCUCAGGAUGAACGCUAGCUACAGGCUUAACACAUGCAAGUCGAGGGGCAGCAUGGUCUUAGCUUGCUAAGACUGAUGGCGACCGGCGCACGGGUGAGUAACACGUAUCCAACCUGCCGUCUACUCUUGGACAGCCUUCUGAAAGGAAGAUUAAUACAAGAUGGCAUCAUGAGUCCGCAUGUUCACAUGAUUAAAGGUAUUCCGGUAGACGAUGGGG